This is a long non-coding RNA of Macadamia integrifolia, 682 nucleotides long. RefSeq lists it as uncharacterized. Lineage: Eukaryota; Viridiplantae; Streptophyta; Magnoliopsida; Proteales; Proteaceae. The transcript is spliced from 2 exons. The record is from RefSeq and is a predicted model, not a curated record.
GAGACCCUCCUCCCCUUUGCCAUUUCCUUAUAACUCCACUAUUUAUAGCCCACUCAGCCCCCUACCAAUCCUCAUCAUUAUCAUCUAUAUCUCGGCCAGUGAUCCUAAGAUGAAGAAGUUUGUGUUGGCAACUUUCCUGGUUAUGGCACUUCUCCUCACCUCCUCUUCCUUUCUUCAGGCGGCCAUGGUGGAUAUCUACUGUCUUCACAAUGGACUCCCAAUGGAAAAAGAUAUCAUUGGUUCCUGCAACAUAAUGUGCGAGAACAGGUGCGACCAAUUUGCAGGAGAUGUGAAAGAGUGCUUGAAGUAUUGUGGAAUCUGCUGCAGGGAGUGUAAAUGCAUUCCUCCAUUGCUCCCUUGCACGGGGGAGAUGCGCCCCCGUUGCCAUUGCCCUUGUCCUUGCUACACAAACAAGAAGAACUCCAUUGACAAGCUUAUGUGUCCUUGAAUUAUCCUUUUUUAUUUUUUCCAAUUAUGCUAUAAAUAAAAGUGAAUAUGUGGAGAAAUAUAUAUAAGAAUGUCUCUCCUUUUUACCUGACUAUGAUCUGAGAACCUAUGUGUCUUUGGUUGAGGUCAUGAUGUGCUUGACCAUGUCCAUUAGUCUUCCUUGUAAUAAACAGAUCUUUUACCCAAAAAAACAAAAGAGAAGCAAUGAAUAGAUCAUGCAAAAUUUUAUCUUCAA